This 4067-nucleotide small RNA is filed under the name Rattus norvegicus (Norway rat). RNAcentral's name for it is "uncharacterized LOC102548820". The record is from RNAcentral. Lineage: Eukaryota; Metazoa; Chordata; Mammalia; Rodentia; Muridae.
UGUACCCCAGCUCAGGAAGCAGGGCAGGGGGACAAGCAGAUUCCACGAGACAGCAAGUCUAGCUGAAACCGAGCUCCAGGUUCAGUGAGAGAUCCCACUGAAAAAAUAAGUUGGAGAAGAAUAGUGAUCAUGGGUCUCUGGCCUCUAUAUGGACACAAAUGGGGCAUGCAUGCAAAUAAAUUCACAGGCACACGCACAUGCACACACUCACACACGAGCACGUUCACUCGCUACACCUCAAACAAACAGCAUACAGCUGAGCCACAGUGUGUAUGGACCUUGUACUCUGACCGAGUCGUGGAGUCGGAACGGAACUAAAAAAAAAAAAAAAGUGACAGUGUAACUGAGAAAGUUCCCGUCCCGCCGUGUCUGGUGGCAUAGGCAUCCGUGAGGCCGUGAGACCGUGUUUGAAGAUAAAGACAGGCUGGGAUGCCCUUCAGUGAGGGAGGUUCAGCCUCACCACCACAAUAAAGAGGGGGGGGAGGGAAGGAAGGAGGGGAGGGCCUAGUUCUGGGGCUGUGAGAGGGCCAAUACUCUGAGACAAAGUGGUGGAGAAGGAAGCUGAUCUCGAGGCUGGCGUGGUCGGAGGGAGAGCAGCUCACACCUGUGACUCUUUUGCUUCGCUGAGAGUACGGCACAUCUUGAGAACUGUUAUCAUCCCAAUUCUUUAAAGGAGCUAUUUUCAUUUCUUUAAAUUAUGUGGAUGGCUGUAGGUUCAUGUGCGGGUUUUUGCAGGCAGUGCAAGCACCCACAGAGGCCAGGGGUGCUGGAUCCCCUGGGGCUGGAGCCAUAAGCAGCCAUCCAUCCGAUGUGGGUGCUGGGAAUCUAACUUGAGUUUUCUGCAAGAACAAUAGAUGCUCUGAUUGCUGGGCUCUCUCUCCCGCUGGUCAUAGCAUGUUUCGUUACCUCAGCUUCAGGCAGCUGGGUACCAGGGUAGUUCAUUAGCCUUGAAAACUAACCAAUUCUGAUAUACGGGCUGUGAGCCUUUGAUAUCUGUCUGGAGGUGACUGAGUCAUGUUGCCCCUGUGAGUCUUAGCGAUUGUUCUAAGCUUGGCUUCUGAAGGUGUGAGGUCUGGUGUGCAGCUAACCUUUUCUUUGUGAUUUUUUUCUACAGCCUGAGAAGGAGCACCACACAGGAAAGGGUUGGUGCAUUUCAACUAGUUCUACAUCUUGUUGUUAAGACACGGGGCAAGAUGCCCAGCAAAACAAGAUUUUGCCUGUAAAUUGAAAAGAAGAAUGUCGGGAGGAAAUUCCAGGAGCUUAAGCGGCAGUGCACACGGAUUAUUUGAAGUGGACAGCAAAAGAAAUCCAGGCCAUCAACACCUUUGGUGAAAAGAAAUACUAGGACUUCGGUCUUGGGCCCAGGCCCACUGCUGACAGCAUGAUGGAAGGAUGCACUUGCGGUCUAGACUCCCCCUCCCGCCUCCUGGAGUGGGGGUGAGGCGGCGUGGGCAACGGUUGGGAAGCUGUCUGGAGGCCUCUUGCAGAGACAUCAGAAUGCUUUGUUAGAACAAGCGCUGGGGAUCCAUCCUGUGGCUCACCCUAUCAAGCUGAAACCGGAUGUUGCUGCCAAGUUCUUUGGAAGGCUAAACAUUGUUGCCCUUGAACAUCUGCGUCUGCAAAAAGUUCUAGAUGUCAACCUUGUGACUAUACUAAUAAAAUCCUUGAAAGGUGAACAGAGGACAAACUGUACCAAGCCUCUGGUCCAAUGGCAUCCUGGAGUGGAGGGGGCUGCUCUGUGCGUCCUGGAGGUCUCACCCUAACAUGCGUCAGGGCAGAGGAAGUCUUGAGAACCUUGUGGACUUAUCUGUGGCAUCUUGAGGUAAGCAGUUCUGACCGUGGGGACAGAGUGGCAGUUUUCCCAGCUUGCUCAGAAAUGCAAGCACACACAGGUUCUUGGAUAAAUGGCUGAAGUGAGGUGUUCUUCUGAGAAUCGGGGGCUGCUCUUUGUUUCUCAAAUGAACACGCACAGACAGGUGGGCAGGGAGAGCAGCUUCAAAACACAGCAUGGACCUGGGUUUCAGUCCUGUCUCAGGAGAAGUAUUGUUUCUUUUCGCUACAGACUAGGAACUAAAUGAAGGUUUUAUACGCAGGGUCAUACAGGACGCCGGACACCGGACACUUAUAAAAACUUACAAGUGUUAGCAAAUGUUCUGGGUCAUUCAGAGACUCACCAGUAUAUUAAUAAAUUUUAACAGAGAAGAGGCUUUUCAUUCAAACACCGGUACCGUUCUACACUGGAGAACAGAGACUCAGGAUUCCAGAAUGCAGCCCCCAGCCACUUCAGUGAGGGGUUUGUAAAGGCAAAGAAUACAAAGUUACAGUUUGCUCUGGUUCAGCAAAAACAGUCCUCUUUACAGAACCAGAAACAGCCAUAAAAAAUGUAACCUUAACAGCUCUUAAUGUUUGGAGGUCUAGAUGGGCUUUAUGGUUCUGUUAAGCACAGAGAUGUUAAGUUUUUAAACAUAAAGUUAGCCAUUGAUGUGACUUUAGCCACCGUUGAGUUAUACCCUGAGUCAAAUCCUUGACUCUGCAUUGGGUACCUUUUCAUAUUGGGACUUAUUUACUAUCAUCUUAAUAGCUCAUAAGCAGGAUUUAUAGAUCUGGUCUUAACCUUGGCCUUAGUUAGUGUUAAUGAUGCAGGGUCAACUAUAAUCAGCAGGCACCCAAGGAAGAACAUGGGAGCCAUUUAUUUCCUCUCUGUGAGGUGUUUUCAAAGUUCAGCCAAAUUAUCCUUGAUACUCCUGAGUGGUUUGCCUAGAAGCAGAUGGCUACAGUAACCUCCUUGCCCUGUGUAAAGCAGAUCAAGUCCCUACCAUGUUGGAAGACUACCUCAGCCAAGAGUCAAGGUGUUCUUUUAAUUUUGCAAUGGACUUUUCUCAGGCAAAAAACAUCUGGGUUAUUUGAGGCCCUAAGUUUUUGUAGUUGACAUUAGUUGUGCUGUGCCUGUUGUCCUGAGCGUGGCUCAAGCCAUUCCCAAUCCUAAAUUUACUAUGGGGGAUGUAAGGGCCGGUGCCUGUGCAUACAUGUGUUUUCUCCCUACUGGACCAUUAUAAAGGCACAUGCAGGGAACAGGGUUAUCAAGACACAGAUUUUCAGGGAUUAGUGCACCUGCCAAAUAGGUAAGCAAGGUGCCAAGGGUUAGCACAUGUGAAACAAUGUUUCAACUGGGAGGUGAAGGAAGGAACAUUCACCUGAAGAAGUGAUGGCUGGGAACUGUGAGACAUCUGUGACAAGUUUGUAUCUGCUCUUAAGGGGGAUAUAGAAAUACAUCCCACAAAAGAGCAGGAGUUAAAUAUAGUCACAUAAAACAGUAGUAGUCUAUAAUUGUGUCCAGUUUAUCUUUGGUGGAUCCUCUCGGGCAUUGUGACAGUUCAUUUUUCUGCAGCCAGGUCAUUGUGGCCUGUGUUGUGCUUGACCUGCCAAUAAUAUACCCAGCUGUAGAUAGAUGCCAUCUUCCUUAGCAGCCAUGGGGGUGGUCAGGAUGACAAAGCAUGAUCCCUUCCAACAAGGUCCCAGAUCCUUCAGACCUAACAUGCCAGCUUUUUGUUAAGGGGGGAUGUGCUUACUUCUGUAACUGCUUCUCACUGAGAUUAAGACACCCUCGUAAGAACCCAUGAAGGCUGGAAAGCCAAAGGCCCAGGGGUGGGGCUCAGAUUGGGGGGCUGGAGGCAUUCACCAUAAGCAUCUGUUUUGCUGAUCCAGCUGAAGAGACAAGGAGCAAUUGUAUUGGCUGGUCUGAUUAUAGGGUUGCACAUCUGUGAUCUUAGCAUUCUGGAGGCAGAGGCAGGAGGAUCUCCAUUUGGAGGACAUCCUGGGCUAUAUAGACUCUCAUGCAUCUAUAAAGAAACUUUUGUUGUUCCUGUCUUGGGGCUGAAUUAAAGCCACUGAGUACAAACCCCGCUGUUGUACUGUGGCUGCACCUGAGGAAGUCCUCUUGAAUCUUAACGUUAACAUAUUAAAUACCCAAACCUUAUAUUAUGACCAAGUGAUAAGAGGGAGGAGAGGGGUUGGGGAUUUAGCUCAGUGGUAGAGCACUUGCCUAGCAAACGCAAGGCCCUGGGUUC